GGGUCCUUAGGCUGGUCGUGCCACCGGUACGUACUGGUCUCACUGAUUCCUCCUUCCUGAAGAACCGUAAUGCCAUUAAUUUGGUGUUGCGGGGAAACAGGACUGUUACUAUGAAAAAAUUAGAGUGUUUAAAGCAAGCUAACGCUUGAAUACAUUAGCAUGGAAUAAUGAAAUAGGACGAUCGAUCCUAUUUUGUUGGUUUCUAGGAUUGACGUA
This 216-nucleotide ribosomal RNA is filed under the name Glomeromycotina sp. Its description in RNAcentral is "partial small subunit ribosomal RNA". The stretch from base 40 to 216 matches the Rfam family "Eukaryotic small subunit ribosomal RNA", at positions 686 to 864 of the family's 1831-position model. The record is from RNAcentral. Lineage: Eukaryota; Fungi; Glomeromycota.